This 15476-nucleotide long non-coding RNA is filed under the name Theobroma cacao (cacao). RNAcentral's name for it is "long non-coding RNA (TCAC_LNC005045)". Lineage: Eukaryota; Viridiplantae; Streptophyta; Magnoliopsida; Malvales; Malvaceae. The record is from RNAcentral.
GUAGCUUGAUGGACUUGGUGGGUAUUUAGUGUUUGGCGAGUCUCCUGCAACGCUAAUACUAUGAACACUAUCAUUUCCGCUUUUGGCUCCGAGUUCACUCUUUCUGAAAGUAUGGGAGCUAAGGUCUCUUUGGUCGAUUAUUCUUGAUAUGAUCCAAAUUCUUCUCCAGAAAGGAGUUUCAGAAUCAAAGCGCAACAAGACAUGCCUUUGAUUAUACAAGAACAUUGCUGCAAAUAUGAUUAGAGCUGAUAUUGAGACGACCCCAGCAAUGAGGAACAAGCCCCAAAAACUCUCAACACCAAGACAGUUGGGAGAAACCAAAGUGUUGGGGUCAGGACAAUUGCUUUCCUUCUUGAACCAUGUCUAUUCAAUUUGAUUCAUUUUAUCACCUUGAGUAACAUUUAGGACUGCCUUGAAAACAUCUGCUACAAGAGGGGAACCUCUAGGAAAGACCUGUAAAUUACAAAACAGUAUCAGCACAAGAAACAUCCCAUAUGGUUAGAGAGAAGAUUAGAGAUUGAGAGAGAACUCACAAAACCGAAGCCAUUAGUUCUCAAUUUUGGUUCGACUGCGGUAUAUUUGAACCAAUAUUUGGCGAGAAAGAGCUUCAUAUAAGGAAUUUCGUCCAAAGUAGCAGCAACCCCACCAUUGGCACUUCCUUUGGUAAAGAGAUCAUGAAGUUCUUCCGGGGACUGGUAUUCUAUGAGCUGGGAUUCAGGAAAUCUAAACCGACCCUUUAAGAUUCCUUCGAUAAAGGAGCCUUUCAGGAAACCAACCUUCUCCUCUUUCUUUAAGAGCUCCUGUAUGUAAGUUACCGUAGGUUGGAGUUGUUGCACAGUUAGAAGUGAGGUCAAACUAGCCGUGUAGCUUUGGGUGAGAAUGAGGACGACGAAACACCAUAUUAUUACAAAGAAUCGAGCCAAGUUACUAACCACUCUCUCCCUUGCAAGUAUAAUCCGAGAAGCAAAGAAAGUAAACAAUCUGAAGUCAAUAGUACAACUUCGUAAAUAGAGAAGGUGAAAGAAUUAUUACGAUGUGCAAACACCAUGGUGGAGAAGGAGAACCAGAAGCUCGUGCCGGCUUGAUGCGAAGGGGGUCCCCCGAAAUCUUCAUUUAUUAUGUGUUCUAGAACCCAGACAACAAAUCCGAUGAAAAGAAAAAAACAAGCACUUGUCAACCAAAGGUCCCAUGUCAGAGGUUUCAAGAAAACCCAUGCAUUCUUCCUCCUGUUAUCUCUGAUCGGAACAAACAUUGAUACACCUGAUUCAGUGUAUGGUAAUGUGAAGUCCACGUAUUGUGACCUGUUUGCCACAAUCGUUGUAUCUCCUACCACUGCAUCGUAUGUCUGUUCAUAUUUGCUAAAAAAUUAAUGAAAAUUCCUGUUAACAAACUCAACGUAUAAAGAAGAUAAGGAGAUGUUUUACCCCAUUGUACACUUGAAAGAUUAAGUCAUCAUAAGUCCCGGCGCUCUUGCCGUCGGGUGUUGCAAAGGGAAUAAACUCAUAAGUAACAACAUAAGGCAUUGCAGCCAUUACAGCAUAAAAAACAUCUAUGCAAUAUCUGGUGACUGAAGCAGCUGUAUGAGAAUUAAAAUCCCAUGUUUAACAAAUUCACUGAAACCACCCUUCACUGGAACCCCAAUCCUCAACUUUUUCUCAUUUGUUGGAAUCUCCCAGCCUUUUGGAGGAGAGGUGGUAGCCCCUGGCCAUAUGAUGGGGCCAAGAUUUGGCUUAUGAGUAGAAUUAGUGCUUCUGUUUGCCAAAUUCAAUUCUUUUACAAGUCCACUUUUUGGUGUCCAAAACCCGACUCUUCUUUCCCCAUUUCCAUUUACGUUAACUAUCUGAAAAACUGGUGAUUGUAGCUGUCCAUUAACAAAAUUAAUGUCUCCGGUAAGACCCCUGAAUUUAGUGCUUGACAAUGCUAGGAUAAGUUGUGGACCAUUUUAUGAGACGCCGAGAGAUUCAAGAUCUGUUCCACUGCUGGAAACAUUAGUUUUGUUGAAGCCGAAGUUUCCCAUGCUAACAUUCUCAAUUGCCAUGGCUAGUGCAAAAGUGGCAUCAUAAGCCCACGGUCCAAAAAUGUUCAACUCAGCAUUAAUAAUGGUGGGAUUGUCUUGCUCGAAUUUCCUUUUCCAUCGAACUUUAAAAUUUUCUAACUCAUUUGUUCUGGGAACGUAAGUCCUUACACCUAAAACCCCUUGCAUGGAAUCGAUGGUUGGAGGGUUUGUUAAACUCCAAAGAUUAGUCAUUCCAUCUGUCACGAUCCAAGCAUAGCCUUCACUCAUCAUUCCAACCUCUUUCGCUAUGGCAAAAAGCUUGGUGCCGAGAGAUGGUGGCAUGUGCACAAUGAACACUCUUGUUUGUAUCGUCAUUAGCUUGUAAAUCUCUUCCGAAAUUUGGUCAUCGUUAGCCGAUGAAGGGAUGACACUCCGGUAUGGGACACGAACAUUGAUCCCUUGCAAGGCGUUUGUCAAGUAGGGUAUAAUACCCUCUCCAAUUUCAUCGUCUAUGUAGAUUGGCAUAGCUUCUCUCCAUCCAAAGGCUACAACAAUUGCACAAAUGGCUUUCACUUGAGAUGAGUCAUUUUGUGUAGCUCGGAAAAAGUAUGGACUCCGAAGAAAGGUAAGGGAAGGACUUGUUGCCGAAAACGAUAUGACGGGUACCUGGGAUUUGUUUCCGAGGUUGAUAACAAAAUUGGCCUACAUUGAAGUGUACGGCCCUAUGAUUGCUUGCACUUGUACAUUUUUUAUCAAGUCAAGAGCUGUUUGUCAAGCAAACAAAAUUCUGACUUAAAUAUAGUUGCUGUAGCUGGAUAAUCCUAGAUUAUAUAUGCUCUGACUACUCGUUAACUAAAUCUACAUGUGUCUCGUGCCAAUUAUAUUUUUGCAAUAUACACAUACUUCUCUAUGGUAAUAAUGCCUAUCACUCAUUUUCUUUAAGUCAUUUUCAAGAUAAACUAGUACAAAUAUUUUAAUAGAUUUUAAGCCAAAUAUUCUCGAUACAGCUAGUCUCGAGUUCAUGGUAUAAAAUUAUAUAUAUAUAUAAAGUGAAGGCAAAUUGAUCAGUCACAAAAUCUAAGAUAUAAGUUAUUUAGCCCUUUUAUAUUAUUUUAUUUCAAUAUAAUACAAGUUAUUCAUUUAAAUUUGAUUUUAUAUAUGAAAUUUUUUCAAACUUAUUUUAUAGAAGGAGAAUUCAAACUUAAUUUUUUUAAAAAAGAUAAAUUAAUAUAUAUAUUUGAGAAUCAAAUAACCAAGUAAGUAAAUAUAUAUAUAUAUUUUUUAAUACCAUAAAUCUUUUCCACUUAAAUAUUUGACUUCUUUAUAAGUAUAUCUUUCAUCUACUUAAAUAUUUGUAUUUUUAAAUAUUUUUUUAAUUUAAUCCUUCAACAUCUCAAUUUUAUUCAAUUUAAUUCAUGUACUAUACAUUUUUAUUUAAUUUAAUAUCUAUGUUGUGACACAAAAAAUUUUUAAACAUUUUUUAAUCUAUCACAUGGCACUGACACGCUAGCAUGUCAAUGUCAAGCUCGUCUUCUCAAAGAAUGCUAGUUAGGGUGAUGCCAAUCUCGAAGAGGUGUUGGCGAUUUAAGAGGCCAUUUUAUAGCCUCCUCUUGGGUGCAUUCUUAUAGCAUUAUCAUUGAAUCUGACUCUAUGAGUGUUGUGUCUUGGGUGUCCGAUCCUACUAAAGCUUCGUCAAGGUUGAGACAACUUAUCCUUCAGAUUUGCUCACUCAAAAAUGCAGUUGCUAGCUGGCAGAUCAGGCAUAUUUCAAGAUCAGUAAUGAGGCUGCUAACAUCCUUGCCAAAUUAGGGGUUGAUAGAGUCCAUGAUUUAUUACGCUUUCAGCCUUAAUUGUUGUUGUGACUUUGUGCUUGCGGGGAUUUUUGGGUUAUUGCUUUAGUAUGGAGUUGCUGCCUUUCUCAAUCAUGUGAAGGUAAUGUCUAAUCCGGGGAAUGUCAUGCUUUUGUCAGAUUUGCAAGAGGAGUAAACAUCCAUGAGGGCCAUGUUUCUUACUCUUGUUUAUCAUUUUGCCUAUUUUUGUUUUGGGAUGCGGUUUAUUGCUAAGGAGAUAUGAGAACUUUUUUUGUAUAGUUACAGGUUGUUUCUGACUAUAUUUUUGUAAGCCAGACUUCCAAUAAAGUCCUACUCAUUGUGUAUAUGGGAUUUUCCCUUUUGUUAAUGAAGUUUACUGUCUUUAAUUUUCCAAAAAAAAAAGGUUUAAGCCUCGUCAUUAUUUCAAUCAUAGUCGAAGAAACAACUUAACUAUUUGCAUGCAUUACACUUUACAUCAGGCCUAAACCAACAAUAUGACUCCGUGCGACUCCUUUUCUUGUAAUGGGGACAAAUAGGGAAUCUUGUUCUCCUGUUCUGAACUUUUCUUCCCUGUGAGUUUCUGAUUUCUUUAUCCUUGACUUCACUCACAUAUUUCUUGGUUGAAGCUUCUGCAUGUGCCUUUUCCCUUCAUUCAAAUAAUAAAGGCAAGAUCAGCUUUUUCAUUUUUCCUAGCAACUUUCCUUUAUUCAUCAACUUCUAAAACAUUCACCAAAUUUGAUAUAGAGCUCUGUGAGAUGUCUUUCACUUGUUCCAAAGAAGAAACUGUGGCAUCAAACCUUUCAGGUAAACUGGUAAGGACUUUCUCCACAACCUUAGCAUCAGAUAAAGUCUUUCUCAACAGUCGAAUUUGAUUUUCCAGCUUCAUCACUGCAUUAAUGAAUUCUUGCACAGUCUGAUUUUCUUUCAUCCUCAGAAGUUCAUAUUACCUUCUGAAGUUCUGUAGAUGAAUUGGCUUGUUUAUGGCAGACCCCAAAAGUUCUUCUUCAAGUUUGUUCCAACCCUGUUUUGCUGUCUCACAUCCCAUAAUCAUGCUGAAAACGGACUCUGUAAUAGCUGAGUGUAUGAAGGAUAAGGCUCUGAAUUUCUUUGCAAUAUCCUCUUUAUAUUGCUUUACCUAUGUUAGUGUGGCUUUAUCUCUCAAUGCUGGUACAUCUGUCUCAUUUUCAACUGCAUUCAAUAGAUUGACACCUUUCAAGAAUGCUUUCAUUCUAAUGACCCAAACAAGAUAGUUAGAGCCAUCAAAAAUGGGUGUAGUUUGACAUUUUGAUGAAGAAUAAACUUGUGAUGAGUGAGAAAGAGGUUUUAACUGGCUCACAAAUUGGUUAUCUGCUUUGAUAUCAUGUCAUGAAGCUAAAAGAAGAUGAUAAAAAUAGUAUUAUAUACUGUUCUAUAGAAAAAGGAAAAACAUAGAGCAAGCUGGAGAAGGAAAGAUGCUUCAUUAAUUACUAAACAGAUAAUAUAUAUACAAGCAUCAUAUGGUUAACAACUGUUUACAAAGUGUACAAGUGUUAUUAACUAAAACAUGCACUAAAACACCUUAUAAACACUGGUAUAAUAUUCUUAAUAACCAGUACAAUGAAGCAAAAUACAUAGUAAAAAACAAAAUGAUAAAGUUAAUGCAUGCUUUAACUCUAACUUGUACAUCAAUUUAUAUUCUUCAUUACCGACGUUGUCAAUGGAGCAAAGGGGAAUAUCUACACCAAUUAUUCUCUGGGGCCAUUUGUAGUGUUACCAAGCUCAAUAGACUGUCUUCCGGGAGAAGGGAAUAUCUCUGGAGAAGCUGUAACACUUGGGGUAAUAUCACCAUUUUCAGCUACUCUUCGUUGAUCUGCCGAGAACACAAAGUCUGGCUCUGUCUGGUUUGAGUAGCUUGAUGGACUUGGUGGGCAGUUAGUGUUUGGUGAGUCUCCUGCAACGCUAAUACUAUGAACACUAUCAUUUUCGCUUUUGUCUUCGAGUUCACUUUUUCUGAAAGUAUGGGAGCUAAGGUCUCUUUGGUCGAAAAUUCUUGACAUGAUCUGAAUUCUUCUCCAGAAAGGAGUUUCAGAAUCAAAACGCAACAAGACAUGCCUUUGCUCAUAAAAAAAUAUUGCUACAAAUAUGAUUAGAGCUGAUAUUGAGGCGACUCCAGCAAUAAGGAACAAGCCCCCAAAACUCUCAACACCAAGACUGUUGGAAGAAACCAAAGUGUUGAGGUCAGGACAACUGCUUCCCUUAUUGAACCAGGCCUGUUCAAUUUGAUUCAUUUUUUCACCCUCAGUAACAUUUAGGAUUGCCCUGGAAACAUCUGCUACAAGAGGGGAACCUCUAGGGAAGACCUAUAAAUUACAAAAUAGUAUCAUCAUAAAGAAACAUCCCAUAUGGUUAGAGAGAAAAUUAGAGAUUAAGAGAGAACUCACAAAACCGAAGCCAUCAGUUCUCAAUUUUGGUUCGACUGCGGUAUAUUCGUCGCAAUAUUUGGCGAGAAAGAGCUUCAUAUAAGGAAUUUCGUCCAAAGUAGCAACAACCCCACCAUUGGCACUUCCUUUGGUAAAGAGAUCAUGAAGUUCUUCUGGGGACUGGUAUUCUAUGAGCUGGGAUUCAGGAAAUCUAAACUGACCCUUCAAGAUUCCUUCGAUAAAGGAGUCUUUCAGGAAACCAACCUUUUCCCCUUUCUUUAAGAGCUAUUGUAUGUCAGUUACCGUAGGUUGGAGCUGUUGCACAGUUAGAAGUGAAGUCAAACUAGCCGUGUAGCUUUGGGUGAGAAUGAGGACGACGAAACACCAUAUUAUUACCACGAAUCGAGCCAAGUUACUGACAACUCUCUCCCCUGCAAUUAUAAUCCAAGAAGCAAAGAAAGUAAACAAUCUGAAGUCAAUAGUACAACUUCGUAAAUAGAGAAGGUGAAAGAAUUAGUACGAUGUGCAAACACCAUGGUCGAGAAGGAGAACCAGAAACUCGUGCCAGCUUGAUGCGAAGGGGGUCCCCUGAAAUCUUCAUUUAUUCUGUGUUCUAGAACCCAAACAACAAAUCCGAUGAAAAGGAAAAAACAAGCACUUGUCACCCAGAGGUCCCAUGUCAGAGGUUUCAAGAAAACCCAUGCAUUCUUCCUCCUGUUAUCUCUGAUCGGUACAAACAUUGAUACACCUGAUUCAGUGUAUGGUAAUGUGAAGUCCACGUAUUGUGACCUGUUUGCCACAAUCGUUGUAUCUCCUACCACCGCAUCGUAUGUCUGUUCAUUUUUGCCAAAAAAAUUAAUGAAAAUUCCUGUUGACAAACUCAACGUAUAAAGAAGAUAAGGAGAUGUUUUACCCCAUUGUACACUUGAAAGAUUAAGUCAUCAUAAGUCCCGGCGCUCUUGCCAUAUGGUGUUGCAAAGGGAAUGAACUCAUAAGUAACAGCAUAAGGCAUUGCAGCCAUUACAGCAUCAAAAACAUCUAUGCAAUAUCCGGUGACUGAAGUAGCUGUAUGAGAAUUAGGAUCCCAUGUUACUUUAACAAAUUCACUGAAACCACGCUUCAUUGGAACCCCAAUCCUCAACUUCUUCUCAUUUGUUGGAAUCUCCCAGCCUUUUGGAGGAGAGGUGGUAUCCCCUGGCCAUAUGAUGGGGCCAAGAUUUGGCUUAUGAGUAGAAUUAGUGCUUCUGUUUGCCAAAUUCAAUUCUUUUACAAGUCCACUUUUUGGUGUCCAAAACCCGACUCUUCUUUCCCCAUUUCCAUUUACGUUAACAAUCUGAAAAACUGGUGAUUGUAGCUGUCCAUUAACAAAAUUAAUGUCUCCAGUAAGACCCUUGAAUUUAGUGCUUGACAAUGCUUGGAUAAGUUGUGGACCAUUUUGUGAGACGCCGAGAGAUUCAAGAUUUGUUCCACUGCUGGAAACAUUAGUUUUGUUGAAGCUGAAGUUUCCCAUGCUAACAUUCUCAAUUGCCAUGGCUAGUGCAAAAGUGGCAUCAUAAGCCCACGGUCCAAAAAUGUUCAACUCAGCAUUAAUAAUGGUGGGAUUGUCUUGCUGGAAUUUCCUUUUCCAUCGAACUUUAAAAUUUUCUAACUCAUUUGUUCCGGGAAAGUAAGUCCUUACACCUAAAACCCCUUGCAUGGAAUCGAUGGUUGGAGGGUCUGUUAAACUCCAAAGAUUAGUCAUUCCAUCUGUCACGAUCCAAGCAUAGCCUUUACUCAUCAUUCCAACCUCUUUCGCUAAUGCAAAAAGCCUGGUGCCGAGAAAUAGUGGCAUGUGCACAAUGAACACUCUUGUUUGCAUCGUCAAUAGCUUGUAAAGCUCUUCUGAAAUUUGGUCAUCGCUAGCCGGUGAAGGGAUGACACUCCGGUAUGGGACACGAACAUUGAUCCCUUGCAAGGCGUCUGUCAAGUAAGGUAUAAUACCCUCUCCAAAUUCAUCGUCUAUGUAGAUUGGCACAGCUUCUCUCCAUCCAAAGGCUACAACAAUUGUACUAAUGGCUUUCACUUUAGAUGAGUCAUUUUGUGUAGCUCGGAAAAAGUAUGGACUCCGAAGGGAGGUAAGAGAAGGGCUUGUUGCCGAAAAUGAAAUGAUUGGAACUUGAGAUUUGUUUCCGAGAUUGAUAAGAAAAUUGGCCUGCAUUGAAGUGUGCGGCCCUAUGAUUGCUUGCACUUGUACAUUUUUUAUCAAGUCAAGAGCUGUUUGUCAAGCAAACAAAAUUCUGACUUAAAUAUAGUUGCUGUAGCUGGAUAAUCCUAGAUUAUAUAUGCUCUGACUACUCGUUAACUAAAUCUAUAUAUGCUCUGACUACUCGUUAACUAAAUCUACAUAUGUCUCAUGCCAAUUAUAUUUUUGCAAUAUACACAUACUUCUCUAUGGUAAUAAUACCUAUCACUCCUUUUCUUUAAGUCAUUUUCAAGAUAAACUAGUACAAAUAUUUUAAUAGAUUUUAAGCCAAAUAUUCUCGAUACAGCUAGUCUCGAGUUCAUAGUAUAAAAAUAUAUAUAUAUAUAUAUAUAUAAAGUGAAGGCAAAUUGAUCAGUCACAAAAUCUAAGAUAUACUAUAUUUAGCCCUUUUAUAUUAUUUUAUUUCAAUAUAAUACAAGUUAUUCAUUUAAAUUUGAUUUUAUAUAUAAAAUUUUUUCAAACUUAUUUUAUAGAAGGAGAAUUCAAACUUAAUUUUUAUAAAAAAGAUAAAUUAAUAUAUAUAUAUAUAUUUGAGAAUCAAAUAAUCAAGUAAGUAAAUAUUUAUAUAUAUUUUUUAAUACCGUAAAUCUUUUCCACUUAAAUAUUUGACUUCUUUAUAAGUAUAUCUUUCAUCUACUUAAAUAUUUAUAUUUUUAAAUAUUUUUUUAAUGUAGUCCUUCAACAUCUCAAUUUUAUUCAAUUUAAUUCAUGUACUAUACAUUUUUAUUUAAUUUAAUCUCUAUGUUGUGACACAAAAAAUUUUUAAAAUUUUUUUAAUCUAUCACAUGGCACUGACACGCUAGCAUGUCAAUGUCACAUCAACAUAUUAGUGCCAUGUGGUACUACCACAUCAUCAUAUUAGUGCCACAUGGCAUGCCACAUCAUCAUAUGGGUGCCACAUCAUCAUUGAUAUCAAUGCUGAUAUCAUCAUUUUAACAAAAAAAAUUGGAUACUGUUAAAAGAGGGAUUAAAUUGAAAAAAUUCUCAAAAUCAAAAUAUUAAAUUAUUUCGAUUUUGAAUAUAGGGAUUGAAUUGAACAAAAUACAUAAAUAUAGGGACUUGUUGGAUGUUUUGAUUAAGGUUGAAAGUUAAGAUUUCUAAAAGUUUUUCAUAUAUAUCAACUUUUUUUUUCUGAAAAAAAGGAAAAGGAAAGUCACAUGGAGAGAGGUGACAGAGGAAACGCGUACCAGCAGCAGCGGCGCCAAUAACGUCCUUGGAGUCCCUGGGGUUCAAGACAAUCCUGGUUCUGUAGGAAGCAUGAGUGGCGUAAAAGUCAGAGAGGGCCAUGUUGAUGCAGCUCAACCCAAUCUUCCCAAGCUUUGUAUCCAAGUCAAGAACCACCCCCACAUUAACAGGGAUGCUAUUGUUGUUUUGUGCAACAACCACAUGCAUCAACAAAACCUUGCACGAAAUGACCACGAGGUAGAAAAAAUGGAGGGGAGGGCUAGUUACUGCGGUAGCUUUUUGCAUCUUCAUUGAAGCUCUUGAGCAGGGUCUGGCCUUCACAAGAAGAUACUGAUAUUUACACUGGAUGAAUAAAAGAGCCGCAAUUGGAGAAAUUGCAUGGGUAAAUUCUGAAGGAUAUGGUUAGCACAACUCAAGACUGAAGAGUGAAUAAUUAAAUAAUAAUAAAAAACUUAUCUCCUCCUCCUUACAUAAGGGAGUGGGACAAUGUCGAUCUGAUGCCUAGAGAUAGAAUUUGUCUUGUUUCAGUAUCAAUCGUUUACCUUGACCAAAUCAAAAUACAGACAAAAAAAAAUCGACAUCACCUUGUUGCUCUCAAAUUAAUUAGAAAAGAAAUUCUGCUCCUCCAAAUUUGUAUCCUACGAAGAUUCUAUUGGAAGGGAAAUAACGGUCGGUCAGAGAUUGGUGGAUGGCUUUUCAUCAAGUUCCAAUCGUAUAUUUUGUCAGCAGGCAGGCAAGGAAAUUUGAGGCAGCUGGUGGCCCCUACUUUGGGUGUUGAAUAAAAAAAAAACACAAAUGAAAAACAUUACAUGUCCUAUUGGCCAUUGGGGGAAUAUCAGGACGACUGCCAGGAAACAAGUAACCCAAACAGUAGUCUACUACACAUGUUUAGAAGAAAUUUCAAGCUUUGACUUGAAUAAAACAUGGAGUAGUUUUGAGUUAUUUAAUAUUGUGCCAAAAAUAUAAAGAGAAGUUAAACUAAAGACAUGUAAAGUAACAUUUUAUGAAACUAAAAUUACUUAUCUUACCUUUGUAUUUUACUAGUACAUUUCAGGAUUUAUAUUUUCCAAGUUAGGCCAAUUUUUCUUUCUUUGAAAAGUUUUUGUCUUGUAAAAAUGUUGAAUUUGAGUAGCCUACUUAAUCAAUCAAUUUGUGUGGCAGCAAAUGUCCUUUCCUAGGAUCUAAUCAAUGACUUAAUUACUCAAAACAUUACAUCAUACAGCUUCUUUUCCAGGAAAGUGUAAGGAAAACAUGGGACUGAAAACUCGGGACUCUUAAUUGAUAAUGAAAGGCCACAAGUAGCAUUUGAUUUGAGGCAAAUUAAGCAAUGGUUAUUAAAUUAAUCAUGACUUGGAGUAUAUUUGUCAAUUCAAAAAAGAAAGAUUCUCUACUUACUUUAUACUAAAAUCCUAUGCUUCUCUAUUAGUAUAAAUUAAUAAAAAAUAAAGUAAAAUACUGUUAUUCUCUUAAUUUUUAAUCAUAAUUCUAGACGAGUCUAUUAAUUUUCAAAAUGAACAUUUUAUCUAAAAAGUGUAAAUAUUGUUAAUAAAAAUUAUAAAAUGACUAAAACACAUUUUCUUUUUUUUUUCUUUCAAACAAUAUGAUCAGUCGACGACAAGAACACCGAUCAAGUUCUCCUUAGGACCCUAGAAGCUCCUCGACUUCUUUUGGCAAAAAAAAAAAUUACAAAAAAAAUAAUAUAAUAAUUUUUAAAAUUAAUAAAAAGUAAAAUUAUCUUUUUAAUAUUGUCACGUCAUCAAACUAACAGAAAUAUUAACAGUUGAUUGAUGGCUAGACCUAUGUGUUUAGGAGAAGAUAUUUUUUAAGAUAAAGUAUUCAUUUUAAAAAUUAAUGAACCCGCUUGGAGUUAUGACUAAAAGUAAAAGUGAGAGUAUUUAUCUUAAAAAUUAUAAUAAUGAAAAAGUAAUAGUAUUAAUUAGGAAGGAUAUGAAGUAACUAUUGCAAAAGCUUUGACCUCAUGUCUUGUUAAUUAAUUAAGGAAACAUUUUGUCUCCUGAUUUUUCCAGGAAACCAAACGCCUCCCUCUUCUAUCCUUGUUUUUCCUUCCUUCUUAUUGCUCCAUAUUAUUUUAUUUUCUUGCACUUGCUUCACAAUCAUAUGGCUUAUUUUAUGUAUGCAACCACAACUCUAAACAUCUUCAACUAGGAUUUUAUAUUGUCUCUUCCAUCCUCUACACCAUCAUAGGCAAAUAUAUCUAUAUCUAAACAUUUGACUCAUUGAUUGGUGCAUGAUCCCCUUACCUAAAAAGCAAAGUUUGAAUCCCCUCUCUCUCAAUUAAAAAAAAAUUCAUAUAUAUAUAUAUAUAUAUAUAUAUAUAUAUUACCCUUAUCCUUUUUCCAUUUUACCCUGAGUCUAGCACCCGCUUAACCAGCUUGACUUCCAAUCUUAGGGACUCACUUUGACUUUGAACAAGGAAUUGAUAACGACCUUUAUCUUUAAUAAUCUCAAUAAUCAAGCAUACUUUUCCUGAGUUGGAAAAUUCGGUGUAGAUGAAAAAUUUGAAUUAAAAUUUUUCGAUACUGACUCAAUUUUUUAAAAGUUUUCCCCAAUUUCAUGAUUAUUUAUUUAAUCGAAUGUACUAAUCAGCCAACAUAUUCAUCCGUUAAAAAUUGGAGCAAAUGUUGGCAUGUUUAGAAACAACCAUGCAUAUGUAUUUGGGACCAUUCUAUGAGUUACUUAUAGAUUAUCUUGAUAUUUUCAAUCCCUAGAUUUUAAAUUUUUUUCUUAAUCAAAGGUAAAUUUUAUUGAGUAUCAAAUGUUUGAUAAGAAAGAUAGCAAGAAAAGGAACAAUAUGUGCCUAGCCCAUUGUUAUUAUGUAGAUUUUAUGUAUUAUUAAUGAACUAAAUAUUUUCACAUAAUUAAUAAAAAAAAUUUAAAGGUUGAGUAGUCUAAAAAAUGAAUACUUAUAAUUCUAAAAAUAUAUAUUUUGAAAUUUUUUUUAAAUUUUUAUCUUUACACAUUUAUAAAGUAAUGUUAUGUAAUUAAAUAAUAAUAUAUAAAUAUUAUACAUUGACGGUAUACUAAAUAUACCUAUAGUGCUAUUUCUUGGAAGUUUUCUCAAAUACAAACCUCAAUAUUAUUUUUUUUUAUAUAUAAAAACGUUAAGCCACCAUCACUGAUAUUGUAACUGCUUAAUUCCAGUGCAACUAUCUCACGGAAGCUGACUAAGUCCAAGGUUGUUUGGGAGUGCCCACCCAAGGGUUGGUUCAAGUUCAAUACCAAUAGGGCAGCUAGGGGUUGUCCGACGCAUCUUGGGAUUGGAGGGGUUCUACGCGACGACACAAGGGCUGUCAAGCUCGUCUUCUCAAAGAAUGCUAGUUAGGGUGAUGCCAAUCUCGAAGAGGUGUUAGCAGUUUAAGAGGCCAUUUUAUAGCCUCCUCCUGGGUGCAUUCUUAUAGCAUUAUCAUUGAAUCUGACUUUAGGAGUGUUGUGUCUUGGGUGUCCGAUCCUACUAAAGCUUCGUCAAGGGUGAGACAACUUAUCCUUCAGAUUUGCUCACUCAAAAAUGCAGUUGCUAGCUGGCAGAUCAGGCAUAUUUCAAGAUCAGUAAUGAGGUUGCUGACAUCCUUGCCAAAUUAGGGGUUGACAGAGUCCAUGAUUUGUUACGCUUUCAGCCUUAAUUGUUGUUGUGACUUUGUGCUUGCGGGGAUUUUUAGGUUAUUGCUUUAGUGUGGAGUUGCUGCCUUUCUCAUUCAUGUGAAGGUAAUGUCUAAUCCGGGGAAUGUCAUGCUUUUGUCAAAUUUGCAAGAGGAGUAAACAUCCAUGAGGGCCAUGUUUCUUACUCUUGUUUAUCAUUUUGCCUAUUUUUGUUUUAGGAUGCGAUUUACUGCUAAGGAGAUAUGAGCACUUUUUUUUGUAUAGUUACAGGUUGUUUCUGGCUAUAUUUUUGUAAGCCAGACUUCCAAUAAGGUCCUGCUCAUUGUGUAUAUGGGAUUUUCCCUUUUGUUAAUGAAGUUUACCAUCUUUAAUUUUCCAAAAAAAAAAAAAAGGUUUAAGCCUCGUCAUUAUUUCAGUCAUAGUCGAAGAAACAACUUAACUAUUUGCAUGCAUUACACAUUACAUCAGGCUUAAACCAACAAUAUGACUCCGUGCGACUCCUUUGCUUGUAAUGGGGACAAAUAGGGAAUCUUGUUAUCCUGUUCUAAACUUUUCUUCCCUGUGAGUUUCCUCUUUCUUUAUCCUUGACUUCACUCACAUAUUUCUUAGUUGAAGCUUCUGCAUGUGCCUUUUCCCUUCAUUCAAAUAGUAAAGGCAAGAUCAACUUUUUCAUUUUUCCUAGCAACUUUCCUUUAUUCAUCAACUUCUAAAACAUUCACCAAAUCUGAUAUAGAGCUCUGUGAGAUGUCUUUCACUUGUUCCAAAGAAGAAACUGUGGCAUCAAACCUUUUAGGUAAACUGGUAAGGACUUUCUCCACAACCUUAGCAUCAGAUAAAGUCUCUCUCAACAGUCGAAUUGGAUUUUCCAGCUUCAUCACUGCAUUAAUGAAUUCUUGCACAGUCUGACUUUCUCUCAUCCUCAGAAGUUCAUAUUGCCUUCUGAAGUUCUGUAGAUGAAUUGGCUUGUUUAUGGCAGACCCCAAAAGUUCUUCUUCAAGUUUGUUCCAACCCUGUUUUGCUGUCUCACAUCCCAUAAUCAGGCUGAAAACGGACUCUGUAACAGCUGAGUGUAUGAAGGAUAAGGCUCUGAAUUUCUUUGCAAUAUCCUCUUCAUAUUGCUUCACCUAUGUUAGUGUGGCAUUAUCUCUCAAUGCUGGUACAUCUGUCUCAUUUUCAACUGCAUUCCAUAGAUUGACACCUUUCAAGAAUGCUUUCAUUCUAAUGGCCCAAACAAGAUAGUUAGAGGCAUUGAAAAUGGGCGUAGUUUGACAUUUUGAUGAAGAAUAAACUUGUGAUGAGUGAGAAAGAGGUUUUAAUUGGCUCACAGAUUGGUUAUCUGCUUUGAUAUCAUGUCAUGAAGCUAAAAAAAGAUGAUAAAAAUAGUAUUAUAUACUGUUCUGUAGAAAAAGGAAAAACAUAGAGCAAGCUGGAGAAGGAAAGAUGCUUCAUUAAUUACUAAACAGAUAAUAUAUAUAUACAAGCAUCAUAUGGUUAACAACUGUUUACAAAGUGUACAAGUGUUAUUAACUAAAACAUGCACUAAAACACCUUAUAAACACUGGUAUAAUAUUCUUAAUAACUAGUACAAUGAAGCAAAAUACAUAGUAAAAAACAAAAUGAUAAAGUUAAUGCAUGCUUUAACUCUAACUUGUACAUCAAUUUAUAUUCUUCAUUACCGACGUUGUCACUGGAGCAAAGGGGAAUAUCUACACCAAUUAUUCUCUGGGGCCAUUUGUAGUGUUACCAAGCUCAAUAGAAUGUCUUUCAGGAAAAGGGAAUAUCUCCGGAGAAGCUGUAACGCUUGGGGUAAUAUCACCAUUUUCAGCUACUCUUCGUUGAUCUGCCAAGAACACAAAGUCUGGCUCUGUUUGGUUUGAGUAGCUUGAUGGACUUGGUGGGCAGUUAGUGUUUGGUGAGUCUCCUGCAACACUAAUACUAUGAACACUAUCAUUUCUGCUUUUGUCUUCGAGUUCGCUUUUUCUGAAAGUAUGGGAGCUAAGGUCUUUUUGGUCGAAAAUUCUUGACAUGAUCUGAAUUCUUCUCCAGAAAGGAGUUUCAGAAUCAAAAUGCAACAAGACAUGCCUUUGCUCAUAAAAAAAUAUUGCUGCAAAUAUGAUUAGAGCUGAUAUUGAGGCGACUCCAGCAAUAAGGAACAAGCCCCCAAAACUCUCAACACCAAGACUGUUGGAAGAAACCAAAGUGUUGAGGUCAGGACAACUGCUUCC